Gossypium arboreum is the source of this 107-nucleotide non-coding RNA. NCBI's taxonomy places the organism in Eukaryota, Viridiplantae, Streptophyta, Magnoliopsida, Malvales, Malvaceae. The record is from Rfam.
AACCCAUGGUGAAAGAAAUGUCUCAAUAAUUCCUUAUACCUCUCCCUUGCAUCAUAUAGGGUUUUUAGGUCGAUUUGAAUGAAGGAAGAGAUAUCAUUCCUUAAUUU